CUCUCUCCCUCCCUACCUCAACUCAAUCCCUAGGUGGAGAAGGACUGGGGCAAGCUAUUCCAAAGAACAAAGGAGGAAUCUUGGGGAGUAGAGCAACAUGUUGGAGAAACCAGGUCACAAAAACCUUCCCUUUAGGUAGGGGUAGGGGAAGAUGGAAAAGAAGAGGUAUGAAUUGAAAGGUGGUAGCAUCUCUUAUGUGAGGCAUAGCCAUGUCAUCUCUCAUAUACAUGGAAACACAAACUUACUUAAUUGAUCUCUUUUCCCUUCGUUGAAAAGGUAAGUCAAGUUAAACAAUUCAACAUCCAAUGAAACAUGUACAGAGGAGAGACAGACAGCAAGUAAAAGACAUAUGGAAAGAGUAUCCAGGCCCUUUUACCGAAGUAGUAGAACAAUGCAGACAUUUAUUAGAAGUUUGCUCCUUUGAAAUAUUAUUAUUACACUGAAAGUUGGAAAAAAGCUAAACAUCCAUCAGAGGAGGUUGAUUACAUAAAUUAUGAAAGAUCCAUAUUUUUUAAUUCUAUGAAGCCAUAAAAUGAUAAUACUGAUAUGUAUCAUUGAACCCACCACUGAUUGUUUGAUAAAAAUUUCAGAUACCAAGAAUUACAUAUAAAUUAGAGUUGGUUUUGUAAUAUACAGCAUAGAAAUACAUACUUUUCUAUUAUUAAAUAUUUACUGAUUUCUGAAUACUUACACAUGUAUAAGAUAGGUAUUUAGAAAGAUUAAAGAGGGCAUACAGCACACAGACGUUUCUCAUUCCUAUCUCCCAUCUCCUUUCCCAGAGACAGUUUCUAAAACAAAACUGAGGAAAAUACUAACAUCAUUCGUCUAAUAAGAGCAAUGAGGUAUGUAAUACUAAUGAAUCUUAAAACAUAUCAUAUAAAAAACACUAGAUAACUGGACUAAGUAGUGCAAACGUGAAUGUCUAUCUAAAACACACACGUCGCACACACACGAUAAUGAAUGGAAGACGUCCUAGCACAUGUUUACAAACUGUUUGUGUGUUGCCGUCCUACACACCAGACGCAAAGCGCUGAAAACAACAAGCCUGUUCACAAUAGCACCAGGAACGUACAGUACACAGGAAUCAUCUGCAGGUGAUUUGUGACAACUGUAGGCAGAACAGUAAAAGCGAGAGAUACAAUGGAUGGUUUGAAAAAUCAGAGACACUCUUCUUCCUUAUCGAAUUGCAAGAUUAACGUUGUACUACGCAGACAAAGGUGUGUUCAAGAUUUGGAUCGUAAGCGAGUUCACUGAAAACUAGCGGAGGGGAAGGGCAAAUACUGGAAGGGAAUCCCCGGUGUGUUCAAGAUUUGGAUCGUAAGCGAGUUCACUGAAAACUAGCGGAGGGGAAGGGCAAAUACUGGAAGGGAAUCCCCGGUGUGACCAGGCCAGAAACACCUCUUUCACAGCAUGGGAUCUGUGCAGGUACUCGGACGCUCCCCGCAGGGCCGCCCGGGCCGGUUUCAGGCGGGCUUGCGGCCCCAAUCACUGCUCCUGUUCGCGGGGACAGGCAGGGGCUGACUGGGAGGACGUCUUGUGGAUGGCCUUGUGCUCCUCGGCGGCCUCCUCCCCCGGGUCGCCACCGCCG
This 1588-nucleotide long non-coding RNA is filed under the name Homo sapiens (human). Its description in RNAcentral is "HSALNT0407589". Lineage: Eukaryota; Metazoa; Chordata; Mammalia; Primates; Hominidae. The record is from RNAcentral.